Molecule: ribosomal RNA, 253 nt
Filed under: uncultured bacterium
Lineage: Bacteria
Description: partial 16S ribosomal RNA
Rfam family: Bacterial small subunit ribosomal RNA
Source: RNAcentral
UACGGAGGGUGCAAGCGUUAUCCGGAUUCACUGGGUUUAACGGGUGCGUAGGUGGGCAGGUAAGUCAGUGGUGAAAUCUCCGGGCUUAACCCGGAAACUGCCAUUGAUACUAUUUGUCUUGAAUACUGUGGAGGUCAGCGGAAUAUGUCAUGUAGCGGUGAAAUGCUUAGAUAUGACAUAGAACACCAAUUGCGAAGGCAGCUGGCUACACAAAUAUUGACACUGAGGCACGAAAGCGUGGGGAUCAAACAGG